This is a long non-coding RNA of Capsicum annuum, 418 nucleotides long. RefSeq lists it as uncharacterized. The record is from RefSeq and is a predicted model, not a curated record. NCBI's taxonomy places the organism in Eukaryota, Viridiplantae, Streptophyta, Magnoliopsida, Solanales, Solanaceae. The transcript has 3 exons.
AUGACGAUAGAUAUGGAAGGGGCUGAAUAUCAUUUGCCCUUGUAUACAAUCUCUUCAUCAUCCACGUCGAAUGCUGGAUUACAGAGACAUCUAAAGAGUCUACCGAUUCCCUACAAUAUCAUAGACCAAAAAAGCAAGGGCCACUACCAUCCAUUUUAAACUGGCGACGAACAUCUUCUUGAAGUUGCAGCAGUUGAAAAGCACCUAUAAAACAUUGUAGUCCACCACAUCAAAGAUACAAAUAUGACAAGCAGGGGGUGGAUCUUGAAUUAAAUAAUGGUUGUCAUUUUCGCCGACUAAUUCAGAGGAAGCCAUUGAUGCAACUGCUAGAUGUCCGAUGUAGUCUUCAAAGAGUUCGCUCCCAAAGAGGAGUGCAAAUACAGCAGUUGGAUCAAGCAUAGUUUCUCUACAAAGAGGG